AUGCUAUGCGGCUACAGAGUUUCAGAAACUGUAAGCCUAAAUGCCGUUUCUUCAUGUGGCGAUGGCUUUGGGAGAGAAACCUCACCACCGACAACCUGCAAAAGAGAGGUUGGCCAGACAAUGGGGAGUGUAACCUUUGCGAUCGAGAGGAAGAAACCCCAGAAUGACUCCAGAUGCUCCCAGGCAUCUUGGUGGCAUGAUGUUGCCUCCCUGCUCCCCAAAUACCACACUUCAGUGGCAAUCUAUGGUUCUUGGCACAUCUGGAAAGAGCGGAAUUGGCGUGUUUUUGACAACUCCUCCUGCACUGCCGAGCAGGUUCUCGGCAUGAUCAAGGCUGUUAUGGUAGAGGCUCAUUCCUGCAUCACAUGGGACACCUUUGGCGAAAAUGAGCCGGAUCCAGAACCGGAUUAG
Molecule: ribosomal RNA, 411 nt
Filed under: Triticum aestivum (bread wheat)
Lineage: Eukaryota; Viridiplantae; Streptophyta; Magnoliopsida; Poales; Poaceae
Description: partial small subunit ribosomal RNA
Source: RNAcentral